GAAACAAAAACGACUCUCGGCAACGGAUAUCUCGGCUCUCGCAUCGAUGAAGAACGUAGCGAACUGCGAUACUUGGUGUGAAUUGCAGAAUCCCGUGAACCAUCGAGUCUUUGAACGCAAGUUGCGCCCGAAGCCAUUCGGCCGAGGGCACGUCUGCCUGGGCGUCACGCAUCGCG
Molecule: ribosomal RNA, 176 nt
Filed under: Urogentias ulugurensis
Lineage: Eukaryota; Viridiplantae; Streptophyta; Magnoliopsida; Gentianales; Gentianaceae
Description: 5.8S ribosomal RNA
Rfam family: 5.8S ribosomal RNA (bases 12-167)
About the family: 5.8S ribosomal RNA (5.8S rRNA) is a component of the large subunit of the eukaryotic ribosome.
Source: RNAcentral